Molecule: long non-coding RNA, 332 nt
Organism: Drosophila nasuta
Lineage: Eukaryota; Metazoa; Arthropoda; Insecta; Diptera; Drosophilidae
Exons: 3
Source: RefSeq, a predicted model, not a curated record
GGGAAAUAUUAUUUAAAGAAACCAAUCCGGACUGGCGCAUGAGCAAUGCUGCUAUGGAAGCACUGCAAACCGCAACAGAAAUGUACAUGACACAACGCUUCGAAGAUGCCUAUUUGUUGACCCUGCAUCGGGGACGUAUAACACUAGAUCUGCGCGACUUAAGGCUAGCUAACUUUAUAUUGGACAGCCGUGGCAAAUUGUAAGCUUCAGUCAGCUUUCAGAACAUAAAAAUGAAAGCUGAAUUCGACAAUAUGGUUAAUCAAAAAUUGAUGACAACGCUACCUUACAAUCAAUAUGGAUGAAAACUGAUCCAACUAAUUAUUAAGGUCGAG